Molecule: ribosomal RNA, 460 nt
Filed under: uncultured bacterium
Lineage: Bacteria
Description: partial 16S ribosomal RNA
Rfam family: Bacterial small subunit ribosomal RNA
Source: RNAcentral
CCUACGGGGGGCAGCAGUGAGGAAUAUUGGUCAAUGGGCGCGAGCCUGAACCAGCCAAGUAGCGUGAAGGAUGACUGCCCUACGGGUUGUAAACUUCUUUUAUAAAGGAAUAAAGAGAGGUACGUGUGUCUGUAUGUAUGUACUUUAUGAAUAAGGAUAGGCUAACUCCGCGCCAGCCGCCGCGGUAAUACGGAGGAUGCGAGCGUUAUCCGGAUUUAUUGGGUUUAAAGGGAGCGUAGAUGGGUUGUUAAGUUAGAUGUGAAAGUUUGCGGCUCAACCGUAAAAUUGCAAUUGAUACUGGCAGGCUUGAGUGCAGAUGAGGUAGGCGGAAUUCGUGGUGUAGCGGUGAAAUGCUUAGAGAUCACGAAGAACUCCGAUUGCGAAGGCAGCUUACUAAGCUGCCACUGACAUUGAUGCUCGAAAGUGUGGGGAUCAAACAGGAUUAGAUACCCCAGUAGUC